UACGUAGGGGGCUAGCGUUGUCCGGAAUCAUUGGGCGUAAUGCGCGUGUAGGCGGUCCGGUAAGUCCGCUGUGAAAGUCGGGGGCUCAACCCUCGAAUGCCGGUGGAUACUGUCGGGCUAGAGUGCGGAAGAGGCGAGUGGAAUUCCUGGUGUAGCGGUGAAAUGCGCAGAUAUCAGGAGGAACACCUAUUGCGAAGGCAGCUCGCUGGGACGUUACUGACGCUGAGACGCGAAAGCGUGGGGAGCAAACAGG
RNAcentral lists this ribosomal RNA (253 nucleotides) under uncultured bacterium. RNAcentral's name for it is "partial 16S ribosomal RNA". It matches the Rfam family "Bacterial small subunit ribosomal RNA", at positions 524 to 776 of the family's 1533-position model. The record is from RNAcentral.